RNAcentral lists this ribosomal RNA (408 nucleotides) under uncultured bacterium. Its description in RNAcentral is "partial 16S ribosomal RNA". It matches the Rfam family "Bacterial small subunit ribosomal RNA", at positions 29 to 526 of the family's 1533-position model. The record is from RNAcentral.
AGUGAACGCUGGCGGCGUGCCUAAUACAUGCAAGUCGAACGAAGUGGCGCACGGGUGAGUAAUAUAUAGCUAAUCUGCCCCUUGCUGGAGGACAACAGUUAGAAAUGACUGCUAAUACUCCAUAGCAAGGGAUGAGACUAUAUCGUAUCAGCUCGUCGGUGGGGUAAAGGCCUACCGAGGCUAUGACGCGUAACUGGUCUGAGAGGAUGAUCAGUCAAAUUGGAAGGGAGACACGGUCGAAAAUCCUACGGGAGGCAGCAGUAGGGAAUAGUGCGCAAUGGGGGAAACCCUGACGGAGCAACGGCGCGUGGAGGAUUACACGUGUCGGAGCGUAAACUCCUUUUGUUAGGCAAGCGGUACCUAACGAAGAAGCACCGGCUAACUCCGUGCCAGCAGCCGCGGUAAUAC